RNAcentral lists this ribosomal RNA (253 nucleotides) under uncultured bacterium. Its description in RNAcentral is "partial 16S ribosomal RNA". It matches the Rfam family "Bacterial small subunit ribosomal RNA", at positions 524 to 776 of the family's 1533-position model. The record is from RNAcentral.
UACGGAGGGUGCGAGCGUUGUCCGGAUUUAUUGGGUUUAAAGGGUGCGUAGGUGGCUUUUUAAGUCAGUGGUGAAAUACAGCCGCUCAACGGUUGAGGUGCCAUUGAUACUGAAGAGCUUGAAACAAGUGGAGGCUGCCGGAAUGGAUGGUGUAGCGGUGAAAUGCAUAGAUAUCAUCCAGAACACCGAUUGCGAAGGCAGGUGGCUACGUUUGAUUUGACACUGAGGCACGAAUGCAUGGGGAGCAAACAGG